This 74-nucleotide transfer RNA is filed under the name Patescibacteria group bacterium. Its description in RNAcentral is "tRNA-Asp". It matches the Rfam family "tRNA". From Rfam's summary of the family: Transfer RNA (tRNA) molecules are approximately 80 nucleotides in length. Their secondary structure includes four short double-helical elements and three loops (D, anti-codon, and T loops). Further hydrogen bonds mediate the characteristic L-shaped molecular structure. tRNAs have two regions of fundamental functional importance: the anti-codon, which is responsible for specific mRNA codon recognition, and the 3' end, to which the tRNAs corresponding amino acid is attached (by aminoacyl-tRNA synthetases). tRNAs cope with the degeneracy of the genetic code in two manners: having more than one tRNA (with a specific anti-codon) for a particular amino acid; and 'wobble' base-pairing, i.e. permitting non-standard base-pairing at the 3rd anti-codon position. The record is from RNAcentral.
GCGAUCGUAGCUCAGUUGGUUAGAGCGCCCGCCUGUCACGCGGGAGGUCGGCGGUUCGAGUCCGCUCGGUCGCG